AACUCGGCAAAAUGACCCCGUAACUUCGGGAUAAGGGGUGCCUACGCGAGUAGGCCGCAGAGAAUAGUCUCAAGCGACUGUUUAGCAAAAACACAGGUCUAUGCUAAAUCGAAAGAUGAUGUAUAUGGGCUGACGCCUGCCCGGUGCUGGAAGGUUAAGGGGAAGUGUUAGAGCAAUCGAAGCACUGAACUUAAGCCCCAGUAAACGGCGGCCGUAACUAUAACGGUCCUAAGGUAGCGAAAUUCCUUGUCAGGUAAGUUCUGACCCGCACGAAUGGCGUAACGACUUGAGAGCUGUCUCAACAACAUACCCGGCGAAAUUGAAGUACUGGUAAAGAUGCCAGUUACCCGUGAUAAGACGGAAAGACCCCAUGGAGCUUUACUGUAACUUGAUAUUGAAUUUUUGUAUUACAUGUACAGGAUAGGUGGGAGACAGAGAACUAAUGCCGCCAGGUGUUAGGGAGUCGAUGUUGGGAUACCACUCUUGUAAUAUGAAGGUUCUAACCUGCACCCGUGAAUCCGGGUGGGGGACACUGUCAGGUGGACAGUUUGACUGGGGCGGUCGCCUCCUAAAAGGUAACGGAGGCGCUCAAAGGUUCGUUCAGCACGGACGGAAAUCGUGCAACGAGUGCAAACGCAUAAACCAGCCUAACUGCGAGACCGACAAGUCGAGCAGUAACGAAAGUUGGAGUUAGUGAUCCGGCGGUAUGAGAGUGGAAUUGCCGUCGCUCAACGGAUAAAAGCUACCCUGGGGAUAACAGGCUGAUCUCCCCCAAGAGUCCACAUCGACGGGGAGGUUUGGCACCUCGAUGUCGGCUCAUCGCAUCCUGGAGCUGUAGUCGGUUCCAAGGGUUGGGCUGUUCGCCCAUUAAAGCGGUACGCGAGCUGGGUUCAGAACGUCGCGAGACAGUUCGGUCCCUAUCUAUCACGGGCGUAGGAAAUUUGAGGAGAGCUGACCUUAGUACGAGAGGACCGGGUUGGACGUACCGCUGGUGCACCUGUUGUUCUGCCAAGGGCAUAGCAGGGUAGCUAAGUACGGACGGGAUAAACGCUGAAGGCAUCUAAGCGUGAAGCCCCCUUCGAGAUAAGAUUUCCCAUAGCGUAGGCUAGUAAGGACCCAUGAAGACUACAUGGUUGAUAGGUCGGAGGUGGAAGUGCAGUAAUGUAUGUAGCUGACCGGUACUAAUAGUCCGAGGGCUUGACCAA
Molecule: ribosomal RNA, 1205 nt
Filed under: human gut metagenome
Description: bacterial LSU rRNA
Rfam family: Bacterial large subunit ribosomal RNA
Source: RNAcentral